RNAcentral lists this ribosomal RNA (429 nucleotides) under Actinomycetes bacterium. Its description in RNAcentral is "Actinobacteria bacterium partial 16S ribosomal RNA". It matches the Rfam family "Bacterial small subunit ribosomal RNA", at positions 355 to 776 of the family's 1533-position model. Lineage: Bacteria; Bacillati; Actinomycetota; Actinomycetes. The record is from RNAcentral.
UAGGGAAUCUUCCGCAAUGGGCGAAAGCCUGACGGAGCAACGCCGCGUGAGUGAUGAAGGUCUUCGGAUCGUAAACCUCUGUUAUUAGGGAAGAACAAAUGUGUAAGUAACUAUGCACGUCUUGACGGUACCUAAUCAGAAAGCCACGGCUAACUACGUGCCAGCAGCCGCGGUAAUACGUAGGUGGCAAGCGUUAUCCGGAAUUAUUGGGCGUAAAGCGCGCGUAGGCGGUUUUUUAAGUCUGAUGUGAAAGCCCACGGCGCAACCGUGGAGGGUCAUUGGAAACUGGAAAACUUGAGUGCAGAAGAGGAAAGUGGAAUUCCAUGUGUAGCGGUGGAAUGCGCAGGGAUAUGGAGGAAAACCAGUGGCGAAGGCGACUUUCUGGUCUGUAACUGACGCUGAUGUGCGAAAGCGUGGGGAUCAAACAGG